This 681-nucleotide ribosomal RNA is filed under the name Vibrio parahaemolyticus. Its description in RNAcentral is "bacterial SSU rRNA". It matches the Rfam family "Bacterial small subunit ribosomal RNA", at positions 853 to 1533 of the family's 1533-position model. Lineage: Bacteria; Pseudomonadati; Pseudomonadota; Gammaproteobacteria; Vibrionales; Vibrionaceae. The record is from RNAcentral.
UAACGCGUUAAGUAGACCGCCUGGGGAGUACGGUCGCAAGAUUAAAACUCAAAUGAAUUGACGGGGGCCCGCACAAGCGGUGGAGCAUGUGGUUUAAUUCGAUGCAACGCGAAGAACCUUACCUACUCUUGACAUCCAGAGAACUUUCCAGAGAUGGAUUGGUGCCUUCGGGAACUCUGAGACAGGUGCUGCAUGGCUGUCGUCAGCUCGUGUUGUGAAAUGUUGGGUUAAGUCCCGCAACGAGCGCAACCCUUAUCCUUGUUUGCCAGCGAGUAAUGUCGGGAACUCCAGGGAGACUGCCGGUGAUAAACCGGAGGAAGGUGGGGACGACGUCAAGUCAUCAUGGCCCUUACGAGUAGGGCUACACACGUGCUACAAUGGCGCAUACAGAGGGCGGCCAACUUGCGAAAGUGAGCGAAUCCCAAAAAGUGCGUCGUAGUCCGGAUUGGAGUCUGCAACUCGACUCCAUGAAGUCGGAAUCGCUAGUAAUCGUGGAUCAGAAUGCCACGGUGAAUACGUUCCCGGGCCUUGUACACACCGCCCGUCACACCAUGGGAGUGGGCUGCAAAAGAAGUAGGUAGUUUAACCUUCGGGGGGACGCUUACCACUUUGUGGUUCAUGACUGGGGUGAAGUCGUAACAAGGUAGCGCUAGGGGAACCUGGCGCUGGAUCACCUCCUUA